UAGGGAAUCUUCGGCAAUGGACGAAAGUCUGACCAAGCAACGCCGCGUGAGUGAAGUAGGUUUUCGGAUCGUAAAACUCUGUUGUUAGAGAAGAACAAGGGUGAGAGUAACUGUUCACCCCUUGACGGUAUCUAACCAGAAAGCCACGGCUAACUACGUGCCA
RNAcentral lists this ribosomal RNA (163 nucleotides) under uncultured bacterium. Its description in RNAcentral is "partial 16S rRNA". It matches the Rfam family "Bacterial small subunit ribosomal RNA", at positions 355 to 510 of the family's 1533-position model. The record is from RNAcentral.